Podarcis lilfordi (Lilford's wall lizard) is the source of this 163-nucleotide non-coding RNA. The record is from the annotation of a GenBank genome assembly. Lineage: Eukaryota; Metazoa; Chordata; Lepidosauria; Squamata; Lacertidae.
AUCAUUCCUGCUGCCUAUCAAAAGAGAGAGGGACACGGCAGUGGGGAGCUCAGCCUGGUGUGUGUGCAGCGGAAGGAGCAUCAGAUUGGUUCCGCUGCUGUACCCACACUGCGCUGAGCUCUCUGCUGCCUUGUCCCUCUCAGUAACUGGCAGCAAUGUGUGU